UUCAAGAGUAGAAAGAGAGAAAUGAGGACCACUGACUGAUGAGAGAAUUGUCUUACUGAGAUGAGGAUGAGCCUGCCUCAAGCCAUCGUAAGCUGGGAGGACCGAUGAUGGACUGACACCGCCUGCUGGCCUGGCCAUUACUGAUUCUUGAGGACAUGAGGACCACCAAGCUUGGACGAGACUGGACAAUGACGAAGCUGCUCUACUGAACAAGGAUGCCCUCAUCGGAAACUUGAGUUAAAAAAACUAGCUUGCACAAUAUGAAAUGAUAAAUCAGACUGCAUAAUGCAACGUCAUUAAUGUUAUACAUUAAGGCAACAACACUAAAAUAAAAUGAAAACUAAUUUUGAUUUCAUUAAAUUAUUUAUGCCUCUAAAAUAAUCUUAAACCGGAUACUGCAACAGACAGUUAACAAUGGACAAUAAUGGAAACUUGCUGAAAAAUUAUUGUAAAGUUAAUAAUUUGUCACUGGCUUUUUAGCAGUGACAUGUCUGGGAGAAGGGAUGUUCCUUUGAUCUGUCCUGGGUCAUCCAAAAUUAUUGCAUCUUUAAGUUAAUAAUUUAAUUUAAUUUCAUACUCCUUACCUUUAAUGCAUUCAAUUGGAUCUUCUCGGUAAAUUAUUAACGAGGUCUCGCCUAAGGCUUUCUAUCAGCUUUUUGUUCAGUUGACAAUGGAGAAUUUUGCUCUAUAAAUUUAAUUUGAUAUUGAAAGUGCAUUUUUAAGAAAACCAAUUUAAGUAAUAAGAGUUUUGAAAGAUUUCAAAAAAGAUUAAUUUAUUGUUUAAAAACUGAAGAAAUGUAACAAACUUUAUUUAAAUUGAACGUUUUUAACAAGACGUUGAUUUAACUAAAACGUGACUUCCUUUCCAUUGUAUAUUUAUUAGAAAACACAAGAACGUUUAAUUUUUAGGAAAAUUUAAAGAUAAACUGUUCAGGAACUUCUAUCCAUCAAAAUGCAUCGCAACAGGUAUAAGUGACACUCAAAUUACAUUUGCGUUUGUCCUUUUGUGAUUUAUUUCAUUGCACUUUUUUUUAC
RNAcentral lists this long non-coding RNA (1035 nucleotides) under Patiria miniata (bat star). Its description in RNAcentral is "uncharacterized LOC119729258, transcript variant X2". Lineage: Eukaryota; Metazoa; Echinodermata; Asteroidea; Valvatida; Asterinidae. The record is from RNAcentral.